This 207-nucleotide long non-coding RNA is filed under the name Cricetulus griseus (Chinese hamster). Its description in RNAcentral is "lncRNA (ENSCGRG00000026060.1)". The record is from RNAcentral. Lineage: Eukaryota; Metazoa; Chordata; Mammalia; Rodentia; Cricetidae.
UGAAGCAAUCUUUGAAGAAACAAGUACCACCUUACAAAUAUGAAUUAUAAUCUAAUAAUUAAUGAUACAACCUCUUUUCAGCCACCAUUAACUAAAAGUGCAGAAGAUAAUAAAUGAUUAUCAAGGGGGUUAGGAGACUCCUGGUUGAUGGCAGUUGAGGGGUGCACUGCAUUUGGAUGAUCCUGGCAUCAAUCAACAAUACCACAG